GGAGAGUUGUCCGAGUGGUUUAAGGUGCAGUCUUGGAAAGGCUGUGUAGUGAAAGCUACCAUGAGUUCGAAUCUCAUACUCUCCG
Molecule: transfer RNA, 85 nt
Organism: Firmicutes bacterium CAG:308
Lineage: Bacteria; Bacillati; Bacillota
Rfam family: tRNA
About the family: Transfer RNA (tRNA) molecules are approximately 80 nucleotides in length. Their secondary structure includes four short double-helical elements and three loops (D, anti-codon, and T loops). Further hydrogen bonds mediate the characteristic L-shaped molecular structure. tRNAs have two regions of fundamental functional importance: the anti-codon, which is responsible for specific mRNA codon recognition, and the 3' end, to which the tRNAs corresponding amino acid is attached (by aminoacyl-tRNA synthetases). tRNAs cope with the degeneracy of the genetic code in two manners: having more than one tRNA (with a specific anti-codon) for a particular amino acid; and 'wobble' base-pairing, i.e. permitting non-standard base-pairing at the 3rd anti-codon position.
Source: Rfam